This 424-nucleotide ribosomal RNA is filed under the name uncultured Ureaplasma sp. RNAcentral describes it as "bacterial SSU rRNA". It matches the Rfam family "Bacterial small subunit ribosomal RNA", at positions 427 to 845 of the family's 1533-position model. The record is from RNAcentral. Lineage: Bacteria; Bacillati; Mycoplasmatota; Mycoplasmoidales; Mycoplasmoidaceae.
AAAGUUCUUUUAUUUGGGAAGAACCACUNAAAUAGGAAAUGAUUUUAGUUUGACUGUACCAUUUGAAUAAGUAUCGGCUAACUAUGUGCCAGCAGCCGCGGUAAUACAUAGGAUGCAAGCGUUAUCCGGAUUUACUGGGCGUAAAACGAGCGCAGGCGGAUUUGUAAGUUUGGCAUGAAAUCUAGAUGCUUAACGUCUAGCUGNAUCAAAAACUACGAAUCUAGAGUGUAGCAGAGAGUUGGGGAACUCCAUGUGGAGCGGUAAAAUGCGUAGAUAUAUGGAAGAACACCGGUGGCGAAGGCGCCAACUUGGACUAUUACUGACGCUUAGGCUCGAAAGUGUGGGGAGCAAAUAGGAUUAGAUACCCUAGUAGUCCACACCGUAAACGAUCAUCAUUAAAUGUCGGCUCGCUUAUGAGUCGGUG